UAAAACGUAGGAGGCGAGCGUUAUCCGGAUUCACUGGGCGUAAAGCGCGUGCAGGCGGUUCGGUAAGUUGGGUAUGAAAUCUCCCGGCUCAACUGGGAGAGGUUAUCCAAUACUACCGGACUUGAGAGUGAUAGAGGAAGAUGGAAUUCCCGGUGUAGUGGUGAAAUGCGUAGAUAUCGGGAGGAACACCAGUGGCGAAAGCGAUCUUCUGGAUCAUUUCUGACGCUCAGACGCGAAAGCUAGGGUAGUAAACGGGAUUAGAGACCCCGGUAAUCCUAGCCGUAAACGAUGUAAACUUGGCGUCGGUGGCUUAAACACCAUCGGUGCCGCAGCUAACGCGAUAAGUUUACCGCCUGGGGACUACGAUCGCAAGAUUAAAACUUAAAUGAAUUGACGG
This 397-nucleotide ribosomal RNA is filed under the name uncultured bacterium. RNAcentral's name for it is "bacterial SSU rRNA". It matches the Rfam family "Bacterial small subunit ribosomal RNA", at positions 521 to 916 of the family's 1533-position model. The record is from RNAcentral.